AUGCCCCUCAGUGUCUCCUGGAGCAUCCAAACCCCCAGACAUCCCCAGGAACUGGGGCUGUCCGAGCCUGUCGGGCGCUGCUGGGCAGUGAGGGGCAGGGUGGACACCAGGGUCAGUCAGCACAGGGUGGCCUGUCCCCUCCAGAUCAGCACUGCUGGCAUUAAACCACGGCCCUCAGAGCCUGAGGAUCCCAAGGGGAAAGGGAUGAGGGGCAGCAGGAGCACUCCCUGCACCGAGGGGCCUUCCUGGGGACACCCAGCGUGGGCCAGCAGUGCUGGCCAGCCCAGCUGGGUGGUGCGAGCCGUAAGAUUUGGGGUUUUACCCCCGAGAUAUCUGCCGUCUGGAAAAGCACUGAGAAGAGCAGUGUUCCCAGCAGAGGAGCUACUCUGCAGGUUGGGAGAGGGGCCUGUUAACAUCCCAGGGCCCUGGAGCAGCUGCAGGCUGGAAUUCUGUCCUGACCCACACCCUCGCAGCUCAGGGGGAAGCUCUCUGAGCACCCAUCCCUCUCCUCCCCGGUGGUGCUGCCCUGCGAGGGACGGCCUGCCGGGGACAAAAAGGGUCAGGGGGACCCUUAUUCCCCAGAGCUGCCCCACAAAAGGAACCUCUCCUAUCCUAAAAUGGGAUUUUUUUUUUUCUCCCCUCUGUUCCAGUGAGCGGCUCCAGGUGUCAACCGAGCAAAGUCAGGAUCAGCUGCAGUUAUUCCAGAGUACACAUCCACAUGCAGAAUAUUCCAGAGCAGGCCUCCUCCGCAUCAGUCAUCAGCUUCAAUUACCAGUUUUCCGGAGCCGAGCCAUCAGGCAGUCUGACACGAGGGUCCAACCUAAUUCCCACCUUCUCCAAAGUCAAGAGCAUAAUGUGCAGAUGAAAAGGUGGAAAAUAGCCUGGACUUCAUUAGCAUGCAGAGCCCGGCUGUUCAUUUGCUUGCUGCGAAUGGAAGUUCUGACACUCGGCGCCUUCUGCAAUAUGAGAAAAGUCCUCUUCAGAGUAUAUGAUGUCCUCACCAGCCAGCAAAGGUCAUCAAAAAGGCAGGCGCUGACCUUGCUCCCUGCUCUUCAUGACUAGUUUAUUGAUUCCAGGAACACCUCAUUACAUGCCGGAUCAACAUAUUAUUGCCAUGUUCAGCGGCUGAAUUGUUUACAAGUGUCUUUAUAACCAGCAAAAAGCCUUCUGGAUGAUGCAUGACUACACUCAUUUGGAUGUGACCUGCCAAUUAGAUGUUAUCCGAUCCGGUGCCGUGUGUCCUGAUCCCUGACCGGGCCCGCUGCCCUGCAUCAGCACGGGCCCAUUUACUACUUCUUUCGAACGGCUCUUUGGCAAAGUGUCCAUUAGCCUGUCAGUCUGUAAAUAUUUUAUUUUUUUUUUUUACCUGGCGGAGGCGCCGCCAGCGCUGCCGCUCUGUCAUUUGCUAUGCAUGAGGUUGAUAAUCAGCUGGGGGAGGCGAGGGGGUGUUUUAUGGCGGCGUCUGAUGGCCCACCCCAUUUGCAGUCAGCGUGCGUGGCCCGCGCUCCCAACGCCGCGUGCCGCCCCGCCGCAGGGACCCGGAAUAUUUUAUCCCGGCACCGCCAGGCCGCUGAUUUAUCUGCGGGGGGAAGGCAGGAACCAACCCCCCCCUGCUCAGCCUCCCCCUGCCCUGCCUCCAAAGGCCCCAUAACUUACCACCCAGCAAACGCAUUUCCCCCUUCUCCGUCUUUCCGGCGCUUUGCGUCCUCCCUGGGUAAUAUAUCGCACGGCGUUAUUCAUCCCGGCCCGCAGCCCCGGCUAUUUACACGCACGGAGACGCGAGAACUUCAAAAAUAAAUCACGGGGCACGACUACUAUUUUAAUCUCU
This 1828-nucleotide long non-coding RNA is filed under the name Cyanistes caeruleus (blue tit). RNAcentral describes it as "lncRNA (ENSCCEG00000009449.1)". The record is from RNAcentral. Lineage: Eukaryota; Metazoa; Chordata; Aves; Passeriformes; Paridae.